UGUACAAUAUUUUAUUUGAGUACAACUUGAUGGCAGUCAGCACAUUGAGCCUCUGCAUAACUCUAUUCCUGAUGUUACAGCAAAAGAGAGUGAAAAACUGGUAUGAAAUAUACAUUAUGCACUUUUCAUCAGAUGAUUGUGAUCAUAAAUAUUGAUUGUUCUUUAUGAUGUGGAUAGUGUUUUACUGAGACUUUCUUGAUUAGAUAUUGAAAUUUUACAAUGAUUUGCUCAAGUAUGACACAAUUGUACGUGAUCGACUAUUUGCUCUUGCAUGUCCAUGUAUAACAAUGCAUCUGUGAAGCUGAACACAUUUUUUUUUUCUUUCUCCUUUUGGAGUAUCGUUGACUAAAUUCAUAUAGUAAAAUAGGCAUCUCAUACAAGGUACCAAUCACAAACAAAUAGGGUUACUGGGGAUUUAUUUAGCUAAUUAACUAGUAGUUUAAACGAUUUCAUUAUGAUUUUAAUAUUGGACUGACAAAUUUCUACUUGUUUGCUGGUUUCCACAUUUGGUGUGGGAGGAGGUUCUUUCACUAACUACUGAGAAAGAAUUUGCUCAAGCCUCAGAAAGAGUGAAGUCUGUGGAUCUGCAUCCAACUGAGCCAUGACCCUGGAGAAGUCCAUCAAUGUCACUGAGUCACCAGACAUGGAACAUUGGCUCUUCUGCCCCGAAUUUUACACUACAAGGCCACUCAAAAGGAGUGAAUUGUAUUGAUUACUUCAUUCACAGGGAUAAGACUUACCUGUUAAGUGGUUCUGAUGACUUCACUGCCAAG
RNAcentral lists this long non-coding RNA (773 nucleotides) under Rosa chinensis. RNAcentral's name for it is "sRNA RchiOBHm_Chr3g0495261". The record is from RNAcentral. Lineage: Eukaryota; Viridiplantae; Streptophyta; Magnoliopsida; Rosales; Rosaceae.